AUGUCCGCCGCAAACAGAUCAGGUCCUUCUGAUCGCUGACCACGGAUGUACUGGCAGCAAUCAUCGAGGGACCGGAGAGAAGGUCGGGCUUGCCCGGCCUUUUUUGCG
Molecule: non-coding RNA, 108 nt
Filed under: Pseudoxanthobacter soli DSM 19599
Lineage: Bacteria; Pseudomonadati; Pseudomonadota; Alphaproteobacteria; Hyphomicrobiales; Segnochrobactraceae
Description: Alphaproteobacterial sRNA ar35
Rfam family: Alphaproteobacterial sRNA ar35
Source: Rfam by way of RNAcentral